UACGUAGGCAGCAAGCGUUGUUCGGAAUUACUGGGCGUAAAGAGUGUGUAGGCGGUGCUCUAAGUUCGGUGUGAAAUCUCCCGGCUUAACUGGGAGGGUGCGCCGGAAACUGGAGUGCUCGAGCGUGGGAGAGGAAAGCGGAAUUCCUGGUGUAGCGGUGAAAUGCGUAGAUAUCGGAAGGAACAUCAGUGGCGAAAGCGGCUUUCUGGGCCUUACCUGACGCUGAGACGCGAAAGCGUGGGGAGCGAACAGG
This 253-nucleotide ribosomal RNA is filed under the name uncultured bacterium. RNAcentral's name for it is "partial 16S ribosomal RNA". It matches the Rfam family "Bacterial small subunit ribosomal RNA", at positions 524 to 776 of the family's 1533-position model. The record is from RNAcentral.